This 491-nucleotide ribosomal RNA is filed under the name uncultured bacterium. Its description in RNAcentral is "partial 16S ribosomal RNA". It matches the Rfam family "Bacterial small subunit ribosomal RNA", at positions 29 to 507 of the family's 1533-position model. The record is from RNAcentral.
GUGAACGCUGGCGGCAGGCCUAACACCUGCCAGUCGAACGGCAGCAUGGUAAGAGCUCGCUCUUACGGGUGGCGAGUGGCGGACGGGUGAGGCAUACAUCGGAAUCUACUUUUUCGUGGGGGAUAACGGAGGGAAACUUACGCUAAUACCUCAUAUGUCCUACGGGUGAAAUCAGUGGAUAUUCGGACUUUGCGCGUUACUAUUAGCCGAUGCCGGAUUAGCUAGUUGGCUGGGUAAAGGCCCACCAAGGCGACGAUGCGUAGCUGAUCUGAGAGGAUGAUCAGCCACACUGGAACUGAGACACGGUCCAGACUCCUACGGGAGGCAGCAGUAGGGAAUAUUGCGCAAUGGGCGAAAGCCUGACGCAGCAAUGCCGCGUGAGUGAUGAAGGCCUUCGGAUCGUAAAGCUCUUUUAUUGGGGAAGAACAAAUGCGGAAUUAACCCCGCCUGUCCUGACGGUACCCAAUGAGAAAGCAACGGCUAACUUCGUG